AGUGAACGCUGGCGGUAGGCCUAACACAUGCAAGUCGAACGGCAGCACAGUAAGAGCUUGCUCUUACGGGUGGCGAGUGGCGGACGGGUGAGGAAUACAUCGGAAUCUACUUUUUCGUGGGGGAUAACGUAGGGAAACUUACGCUAAUACCGCAUACGACCUACGGGUGAAAGCAUGGGAUCUUCGGACCUUGCGCGAUUGAAUGAGCCGAUGUCGGAUUAGCUAGUUGGCGGGGUAAAGGCCCACCAAGGCGACGAUCCGUAGCUGGUCUGAGAGGAUGAUCAGCCACACUGGAACUGAGACACGGUCCAGAAUCCUACGGGAGGCAGCAGUGGGGAAUAUUGGACAAUGGGCGCAAGCCUGAUCCAGCCAUACCGCGUGGGUGAAGAAGGCCUUCGGGUUGUAAAGCCCUUUUGUUGGGAAAGAAAAGCAGCAGGUUAAUACCCCGCUGUUCUGACGGUACCCAAAGAAUAAGCACCGGCUAACUUCGUG
Molecule: ribosomal RNA, 492 nt
Filed under: uncultured bacterium
Lineage: Bacteria
Description: partial 16S ribosomal RNA
Rfam family: Bacterial small subunit ribosomal RNA
Source: RNAcentral